RNAcentral lists this ribosomal RNA (264 nucleotides) under uncultured archaeon. RNAcentral's name for it is "partial 16S ribosomal RNA". It matches the Rfam family "Archaeal small subunit ribosomal RNA", at positions 719 to 982 of the family's 1478-position model. The record is from RNAcentral.
AGUCACUGACAUUAGAUACCCGGGUAGUCCAGGGUGUAAACGCUGCAGACUUGGUGUUGGGAACCCUUCGGGGGUGCUCAGUGCCGGAGAGAAGUUGUUAAGUCUGCUACUUGGGGAGUACGUCCGCAAGGAUGAAACUUAAAGGAAUUGGCGGGGGAGCACCGCAACGGGAGGAGCGUGCGGUUUAAUUGGAUUCAACACCGUAAACUCACCAGGGAAGACUGUUACAUGAAGGCCGAGAUGAAGACUCUGCUAGAUUUUCAG